This 950-nucleotide long non-coding RNA is filed under the name Marmota monax (woodchuck). The record is from RNAcentral. Lineage: Eukaryota; Metazoa; Chordata; Mammalia; Rodentia; Sciuridae.
CCUCCCCCAAACAAAGGGGGAGCUGGUAGUCAGGACCCCAGCUUGCACAUGUCGGGAGCAGAACAGGUCGGGUGGAGGGAGGGUGGAGGGCAGGGGAGAGGACUCGGUCAGAUCUGGGGUCACUGUAGACCUGGGUCUCCUCUUGCAUAAGGAUGAAGCUUGCAGCUGGGCCCCCAGUGACACCUGACCUCUGCCCACUGAAUCAGGACAGGGCUGGGGACCAAGUGAUGGAGUGUGCACGUUAAGGUUGGGUCACGGCAGCUGUGCGGUUGCAGUGUGGUUGCUCCACAGGAGGCUAGUCACCGGGUCUGCCCUGUGGAGAUGUCCUUGUGGGGGCACAAUGGGACUUGCAGGGACCCAUGUGGCAGCAUGUCUUCAGCCUGUCCAGCUGUUGGGGACCUGCAGCCUGGCUAGCUUCUGAUGGCCACUUCCAGAGAGACCCUGAGCCGGAAUCCUCAAGCAUGCAGCCAGCUGCCUCCAAGCUCCUCACCUCCCCAAACCGCAUGGAGAGCAGACUGCGCUUGCUGUUCGCACCGCGGAGCUCGGGCCACCUGGUGAAUGGCGUUUCAGAAGCACGUGCUCAUCUCAGGUGCGGCAGCUGCAGGGUCUGCAAGGUCCGAAUGCUCACCAGUCUGUGCACAGCAUACACAGCAGCCCCAGGAGACCCAAAGGAGACGUGCAGAGGAGCCGGGGCAGCUCAGUCUUCCGCUCCCAUGUCACAUGCUCAGGACAGCGUGUGGGCACAGCCUGGGAGCAGACCACAGGGUGCUCAGGAGCCCUUCUGCAGUCCCACCAGAGAAGGGCCUCGGUCCCAGCAAGGGCCAGCAGUGUUCUGGGAAGCCGCCUCUGCUCAGCAUGGUCAGCGUCCUGCGUGCCAUCUAGAGCACCGGGUGGAAGAAGAUGUGCGUCAGGGACACCACAAGCGCUGGUCAGGCCCUCGGGACAGGAAC